Lonchura striata (white-rumped munia) is the source of this 2126-nucleotide long non-coding RNA. RefSeq lists it as uncharacterized. The record is from RefSeq and is a predicted model, not a curated record. Lineage: Eukaryota; Metazoa; Chordata; Aves; Passeriformes; Estrildidae.
CCCAGGGAAGGACAGCAAAACUGGGAAAGGUCUGGAACACAAGUACUAUGAGAAAUGGCUGAGGGGGCUGGAAUGAUUUAGCCUGGAGGAAAGGAGGAUCAAGGAAAACGUUAUUGCUUUCUACAGCUGCCUACAAGGAGGUUGUAACAAUGUGAAGGUUUGUGUAUCCUCCCAGGAAUGAUGUGGGAAAAUGAGAGAAAAUGGUCUCAGGCUGUGCCAGGGAAGUUGUAGAUUGGAUAUUACAAAAAAAUUUCUUCUUCAAAAGGAUUAUUAAGCACUGGAACACUCUUGAUGCAGUCACCACCCAGCAGGUGUCUUUUUCCGAGGUGUCUUAAAUGACACUGCUUUAAGGGAGUUACAACUGAGUUCAAGAUUCUACAAAGUUUAUUAAAGUGCCAUUUUCUUUGGAAUUAAAAACAUUAGUAUGUUGGCAGUUGCAAGGGCAGAGAAGUUCUACAUAAGCAUCUCAAACCUUCUUAAUAAAUCGAGGCCUGAUCAGAGGUGCUGCUCGACCAAGGUCCCUGGGUGUUGACACAGAAUUGUGCGUGUGAAGUUCACAUUGCAGGAACAGAGUCCAAGUAUAAUUUUAAGAACACCUCAGAAACCUGAUGCUACACGGUGUUUCCACUCUACUGCCAUUUGGCCUUUGUGGUUCCAUUCCUUCCACUACACAAGGACAGAAUUAUAAGAUGCAAAAUCUUGCAUCUCAGCAGGUUUGCUCUGUCUCUAAUAAGAUAGAAGGGAAAACCCUGUCAAGACUAAUACCUAAAAUGAAAAUGAUACAGUACUCUGCAUGACAGCUAGCCUUUAAGAUACAGACAUCAGUCUUCUGGUCCAGAAUAUAAAAGCCAGUGAGCCUUCAUCAGUGAACAGAGCAAUUUCACAGAAUCGUGGAAUGACAGAAUGGUUCAAGCCAAGGUGCGUGCAAAUUCAAGGCCAAUGUAAUUCCAUCUGAUACAGGGCAGAGUCCUCCCUGCUCAGUGCCCCACUCAGAAGGAGCAGACACUAAUACAGAAUUCUAAAUGUCCAAUUUGUUUUAUGAGAAGACCUGAAACAGGACAAGUUUAAGUUCAAUAGCCAGUGAAUGCAAUAUUUUUUUCCUAUGAUGAUAUUUUUUAAAAUUACAUCUUUGAAGCCCAGACACAUGGGAAAGCCAUUAAGGUAAAACCUAUUGUAAGCUCCUAAAAUGGAAAAAUAUCAACCAAGGAAAACAGAGAAAAUUGAUGCUUCUUCUCCCAAUAGUAAUUAACUUGAUUUCACUGAAAGGGAAAAUAAUUUUAAAAAAAAUAAUAAGACCAUGUCAUCUUGCUAUUCUUGUGAAAGAAAAUGAAAUAACAAUAUUAGUUUUUACUUUAAUUUUCAGAUGAAAAUUAUUUCUAUAUUGAUUUUUUUACUUUUCACUUGAAUAAUCUCUCAGAGAUUUUUUUUUAUUAUUUUUAUACCAUAUUUUUUAUUGCUCUACUAGGAAUCAUACCAAGAUUUAUACUUUGUUUAAUAUUGACCUAAAAAUAGUGCAGUAUUUUAAUAUCUAGGAAAGCAAAAUGGGUAACAUAAAUAUUUUUCUUGAUAUUAAAUGUGCAACAGUUCCCUUUCAAAAAUGCAUCAAUCACUCUCACUCAAAACCAGUUUAAGCAGUUGGACAUCAAAACACUUAAGGUCCAUUUAUUGCUUAUUACUUUAGCUAUGUUUGACUGAACAGUCACAUUAGAAUUACUAUGGGAAAGAUAUGGUCUUUUCCUCUUUCUUGCACUGGUGCACAUCUGAUUGCUGUUAGAAAAAACAGACACAGCAGAAAAUUACUCACUUUUUCAUUUUGUUUUUCUUUUGCUAUUUAGCCUCCUGAGAUGGUUCACAGUAGGAUCAAAUAAGAAGCAGCUGAGUUGCUCAUAAAAAACAGCCACAUUUAUGGGAAUAUUAAGCAGAAACCAAGGAGCAAACAGUAUUUUAUAUUUUUAUUAUGGUAACAGAAACAUUCCUGCAAUGCUAAAGCUCACUGUGAUUUUUAUCAAAUCUCCUUCACACGGAGAAUCAUGUUUGACCAGGAACAUGAUGACUAAACUCACAUGAAAAGUUAAGUUUGGAAGUUGAGUUCUUCCACAAUAAAACUGGAAUAUCUGGUUCUAGAA